GGGUCAGUAGGUUGGUCGUGCCACCGGUACGUACUGGUCUCACUGAUUCCUCCUUCCUGAAGAACCGUAAUGCCAUUAAUUUGGUGUUGCGGGGAAACAGGACUGUUACUUUGAAAAAAUUAGAGUGUUAAAAGCAAGCUAACGCUUGAAUACAUUAGCAUGGAAUAAUGAAAUAGGACGUUCGAACCUAUUUUGUUGGUUUCUAGGAUUGACGUA
This 216-nucleotide ribosomal RNA is filed under the name Glomeromycotina sp. Its description in RNAcentral is "partial small subunit ribosomal RNA". The stretch from base 40 to 216 matches the Rfam family "Eukaryotic small subunit ribosomal RNA", at positions 686 to 864 of the family's 1831-position model. Lineage: Eukaryota; Fungi; Glomeromycota. The record is from RNAcentral.